This 1107-nucleotide ribosomal RNA is filed under the name uncultured bacterium. RNAcentral's name for it is "bacterial SSU rRNA". It matches the Rfam family "Bacterial small subunit ribosomal RNA", at positions 270 to 1399 of the family's 1533-position model. The record is from RNAcentral.
GUGCCGACAACGGGUAGCCGGGUUGAGAAACCGACCGGCCAGAUUGGGACUGAGACACGGCCCAGACUCCUACGGGAGGCAGCAGUGGGGAAUCUUGCGCAAUGGGGGGAACCCUGACGCAGCGACGCCGCGUGCGGGACGGAGGCCUUCGGGUCGUAAACCGCUUUCAGCAGGGAAGAGUCAAGACUGUACCUGCAGAAGAAGCCCCGGCUAACUACGUGCCAGCAGCCGCGGUAAUACGUAGGGGGCGAGCGUUAUCCGGAUUCAUUGGGCGUAAAGCGCGCGUAGGCGGCCCGGCAGGCCGGGGGUCGAAGCGGGGGGCUCAACCCCCCGAAGCCCCCGGAACCUCCGCGGCUUGGGACCGGUAGGGGAGGGUGGAACACCCGGUGUAGCGGUGGAAUGCGCAGAUAUCGGGUGGAACACCGGUGGCGAAGGCGGCCCUCUGGGCCGAGACCGACGCUGAGGCGCGAAAGCUGGGGGAGCGAACAGGAUUAGAUACCCUGGUAGUCCCAGCCGUAAACGAUGGACGCUAGGUGUGGGGGGACGAUCCCCCCGUGCCGCAGCCAACGCAUUAAGCGUCCCGCCUGGGGAGUACGGCCGCAAGGCUAAAACUCAAAGGAAUUGACGGGGGCCCGCGCAAGCAGCGGAGCAUGUGGCUUAAUUCGAAGCAACGCGAAGAACCUUACCAGGGCUUGACAUAUGGGUGAAGCGGGGGAGACCCCGUGGCCGAGAGGAGCCCAUACAGGUGGUGCAUGGCUGUCGUCAGCUCGUGUCGUGAGAUGUUGGGUUAAGUCCCGCAACGAGUGCAACCCCCGCCGCGUGUUGCCAUCGGGUGAUGCCGGGAACCCACGCGGGACCGCCGCCGUCAAGGCGGAGGAGGGCGGGGACGACGUCAAGUCAUCAUGCCCCUUAUGCCCUGGGCUGCACACGUGCUACAAUGGCCGGUACAGAGGGGUGCCACCCCGCGAGGGGGAGCGGAUCCCGGAAAGCCGGCCCCAGUUCGGAUUGGGGGCUGCAACCCGCCCCCAUGAAGUCGGAGUUGCUAGUAAUCGCGGAUCAGCAUGCCGCGGUGAAUGCGUUCCCGGGCCUUGCACACACCGCCCGUCA